Molecule: long non-coding RNA, 218 nt
Filed under: Elaeis guineensis (African oil palm)
Lineage: Eukaryota; Viridiplantae; Streptophyta; Magnoliopsida; Arecales; Arecaceae
Description: long non-coding RNA (EGUI_LNC033252)
Source: RNAcentral
CAAGCAAUACAAUAAACAUUACAAAAGAUGUAUAUAUCUUGUAGAGAUUGUAUAUUUGUUGAGAGAGUAUCUAGAGAUAAUAGACCUGAAAUAUUAGGCAUGCCUCUCUAUUUUGAACCUUUCACUGCCAGCAUUCAUUCGCUGGAGGAGAGGAGAGGUAACGAUUGGGAUUUCUCAAAGGAACACGGGCUUUUAGAGGAGAGAUGGAACCUUCCCAG